RNAcentral lists this long non-coding RNA (636 nucleotides) under Mus pahari (shrew mouse). RNAcentral's name for it is "lncRNA (MGP_PahariEiJ_G0003834.1)". Lineage: Eukaryota; Metazoa; Chordata; Mammalia; Rodentia; Muridae. The record is from RNAcentral.
AGACAGAGCUUUCUGGAUGGGGUCGCUGGGCCCGUGCAGUCCAGGAUGCCAGCCCAUGGAAUGGUGCCACCCAUAUCCAGGGUGGUUCCUCCCUCUUUAGUUGAACCUUUCUGGAAAUACUCUUGCCAACACAGUCAGAGAUGUAUCUCCGUCCGAGGUGAUUCCAAAUCCAGUUCCUAGGAUUGAGCUCAGGCCCUGUGCUUGUACAAGAAGCACUUUACUGAGGUGUUACCCUGAGGUGAUACCCUGCCCUGUUGCUGAGUUCUUACAAGAAAGACUAGGGCACUGAGCAAGAACUGGACUCUAACUUGGAAUGGGCACAUCUGGAUGGGCUGAGGUCGCUGUCCUCUGCAGGCUGCCGCAGCACCCGGUCCAGGUCCCUGAGUGCCCGGUCAUACUCCCGCAGCUGGGUCAAGCAGGCCACUCGGAGACGCAGAUGCGGUCUGGGAAGGGGACACAGGAAAAGAGUUAAGUCUCUGAAUAUAGCGAGCCUCUGCUGGUGUCUGUCCGCUCCCUGUGCAGAAGACACCCACACUCUGGAGGCCUGGUCAUGGGUAGGGGUAAGGGACUGGUUCCCUUCUGUGACUGAGAGCUGCGGCUGGCCCAGCAUGUCUGUUUCCCCAUAGUUCCUAGGCA